Long non-coding RNA from Salvelinus sp. IW2-2015, 2071 nucleotides. RefSeq lists it as uncharacterized. Lineage: Eukaryota; Metazoa; Chordata; Actinopteri; Salmoniformes; Salmonidae. The record is from RefSeq and is a predicted model, not a curated record.
GUAGCCUAUUCAAAAAAAUCAAUAGCUAUGUUGAGUGUGUCAUUAAAUAACCCUGAUUCAAUCAGUUGACGUUUAUUUACGUGAUAGCCCAGCUCACUACGCAUAACUAGAGCCUUUUGUGGUUUAACAAUACCUAAUAAAUGCGGUUAAACCUGUAUUACUGGUUAUUUGUAGGAGUUUCACACUGCGAGAGUAGUCUGUUAAAGCGUAGGAGCAGGAAACUUCACUUCAUUUAAGAUAAGACCUCACACACCUCACAGGAAGGAUAUACAGAGAGAGACACAUGUUGUACAUAUUAGGGAUUACCAUUGGCCUCAUUUGCAUCAUUAUAUGCUUUUCAAAUGGCCUAAAAGAGAGAAAUGCUUUGAUGCGCAGAAAUAAAGGUGGAAAUCCUCAAAAUCCUGAACACAAGGAAGCCAACAAGAAAAAGUUAACUGAACAAGACUAUCACUUGUUGGCCAAAAUCCUGUCGGUUGGAUUGGUAGACGCAGACCCCAAUUAUCUUCAACACCUCAGGGACUACAGGGACCUGCGUGGUAGCAAUUCCUGAAGGAUCCACACACCAGGAAAUGCACCAGGAAAUGUACGGCACAGUUAUUUCUGGAGCCAAUCACAUUUGGUACCAUGGAAAAUAUUUAUUUCUACGCAAGUUCAAGCUAUCCACCAAUAUCAAAAAACAUUAACAGACAAUGUGAGAAUGAAGAAGGAUCCACUCAUGGGCCCACAGUUGUCAUUGGAGUGAUGUGCUGCCCUUUUAUUUUGUUCGUUAAUUAUUGAAUAAUGAAAUGAUUAGUUGUAAAACUGCAUAUAUUAGUCUUUGCCCCAUGGCAAAAUGGGUAGAAUUGUAGGAACUGUGGUUCGCAGCUGCAUGGCGUUGGAGACUAUAAUAGCUCACAUACUGUUCAUGAUUUCCACUUAACAGAUAUGUACGAUAUAAAAGUGUUUAUACAGCUUCUGGAAACAUAAUGAUAUUCCAAUCUCAAGACAAAAAGUUAAAACAAUUGGUAAGAUAUUUUAUCACCUCGUGUAUACUUAUAUUCUCAUUUGGUCAAGUUGUAUCCAGAGAAUUAGAAAGUGGAAAAUUAUUGUUUUGAAACUUCCUGGUAGAAAAGGACUAAACCGAUCAACUGAGUUCUAUUUUUCCAUUGUGAUAUGCUGAUUACAUUUAUUUUAAAAAUAACAACUCUAUCUUCAUGAAACACAAACAUCAUAAGUUGAAGUAAUUUCAAUCUCUUUAAAUACUUUUGGUAGAGUAUCAUAUCACUGUUUUCCCACAAUAUCUUAGAGGCAGAUUUGUUAGUUAGAAACUGUUGUCAGAGGACAGUACAUAUCCCAAGACCCUGUGUGCAAUAUCUAUUCAUACACAUACAGUAUUUCUUGAGGUAUGUUGGGGAAAUCGGAGUGACAACAAUGUAUCAGGCCCCGGUGGUUUGAAAGAGGAACAUGGGCUGAAUUCACAAAAGGUUGGUGGCACCUUAAUUGGGGAAGACGGGCUCGUGGUAAUGGCUGGAGCGGAAUAAUUGGAAUGGUAUCAAACACAUGGUUUGAUGCCAUUCCAUUUACACCAUUUCAUACAUGAUUAUGAGUCGUUCUCCCCUCAGCAGCCUCCACUGGAGUUUCAUUUCCUUUUAGUAACCGUCUUGCCAUUUCCCAAAGUAAUAAGAGAGGUUUUUACAACAUUAGCACGGCAUUUCUACUUCUGACUUCAUGGCUCUAGCCUGCUGAGGUCACUCCCCAGAUGCAGUUGUUCAGGGUCUGUCUCAGAAGGUCAACAUUUUCACUACCGUUAUGUUGAAGAGGAAUAACCCCAACACACCAGAGGUGCUAAGGAGCCUGAGGAGAGGAUACACCCAAAGACCUUCCGCCAAGUAGAUAAAUAUCACCCUACAGAACAAGAGAGAUGGAGAAUGGAGGUGCAUCAGCGAAACAACAUACAGAACAAUGCAAGACUCUUAUUGUCAAUAUAUCGUAGGUGUAGUGGGUCAGCAUGCAUUUUCAAAUCAGAAUUAUAACCCAAUGAUCAAAUUACUUUGGAAUGGGGAUUAAAACUUCAAUCACAUGAUCAACAACA